This 68-nucleotide transfer RNA is filed under the name Ovis aries (sheep). It matches the Rfam family "tRNA". Rfam says of the family: Transfer RNA (tRNA) molecules are approximately 80 nucleotides in length. Their secondary structure includes four short double-helical elements and three loops (D, anti-codon, and T loops). Lineage: Eukaryota; Metazoa; Chordata; Mammalia; Artiodactyla; Bovidae. The record is from Rfam by way of RNAcentral.
CCUGAAGCUUAGUUGGUAAAGAACUUGUCUGCAAUGCAGGAGACUCGGGUUCGAUCCCUGGGUCAGGA